Molecule: long non-coding RNA, 459 nt
Organism: Eufriesea mexicana
Lineage: Eukaryota; Metazoa; Arthropoda; Insecta; Hymenoptera; Apidae
Exons: 3
Source: RefSeq, a predicted model, not a curated record
CGCUAUGGCGACUUUCUCGUCAGUUUCCUAAUUAUUGCCUUUUUUAUAUGUUUUACACGAAUUUUUUAAGUCAGUGUGUAGUAAAUAGGUACAGUGUAUGUCAGUUUACAAUGUGAGGGUGGAAAGUAGUUAAUAUUCAAUUGAUCAGUGUAUGAACGAAAGCAGUGAAUAAGGUGAAAUAGGCGCACUAUUGAGAAAGAACACAGGUGCGUAUCGUCAGAGUCAUCCCAGGAGGGAAUGCACUAAAACAUUCAAACCUUAAUUGCAACGUAUGGCGAAUACGAAGCAUCCUAGCAUUGGAUUUGAUGCCUUGUUCGAGAAUCUCUAUUACCUACGUGAUGUCUGGAGACAUUUGCUAACCCGUGCGAUACACAGUCAGAUAACACGCGAACGAGAGGUUCACUUGAAGGACUAGCGGAAGGACGUCGGGGCAAUGCUACCAAAUGUUUCACAAUGUAC